AACAUAAGAGGGAGGCAGAACCAGAGCCGAAGUGAACACUGCCCUUCCACUCUGUUCGUCUCCAAUCUGCCCUACUCUUUCACGAAUUCUCAGCUUGAAGAAACAUUCAGCGAUGUUGGACCGGUCAAGCGGUGCUUCAUGGUUAUGCAGAAGGGUAAGAAAGAAAUUUUUGUCCUAGCAGUAGUGGGCAUUAUCAUAUUGGGAGUGUAAAUCAGACUGCUGGAAAUAAAAUUUUUCUAUU
Juglans microcarpa x Juglans regia is the source of this 241-nucleotide long non-coding RNA. RefSeq lists it as uncharacterized. The record is from RefSeq and is a predicted model, not a curated record. The transcript is spliced from 2 exons. Lineage: Eukaryota; Viridiplantae; Streptophyta; Magnoliopsida; Fagales; Juglandaceae.